Molecule: long non-coding RNA, 215 nt
Filed under: Olea europaea (common olive)
Lineage: Eukaryota; Viridiplantae; Streptophyta; Magnoliopsida; Lamiales; Oleaceae
Description: long non-coding RNA (OEUR_LNC000657)
Source: RNAcentral
GGAUGUCCAUAAAUAGUACUCCGUUUCCAAAAUUAAUUACUUUCCAAAACUAUAUUUACUUAUAGGAUGGAAUGAAGUAAAAUGAAAUUGAUUCCUUGCCGUUAGCUUAAAUCAUAUAUCAACUUAUUCAAUUCGCACGUCAAACGCACAUGUCAAGUCAUUUGUGAAGAAGACAGAUAAGUAGCACAUACAACAAUAUAAAUGUAUUCUACUUA